Papaver somniferum (opium poppy) is the source of this 1475-nucleotide long non-coding RNA. RefSeq lists it as uncharacterized. Lineage: Eukaryota; Viridiplantae; Streptophyta; Magnoliopsida; Ranunculales; Papaveraceae. The transcript has 3 exons. The record is from RefSeq and is a predicted model, not a curated record.
AAGUGCUGCUCGAUCUAUGUGCGAGGAAGAAAUCCCUAAUUUUAGUUUUCAUCUUCUCCUCUUGGUAUCUCAGGAAAAAGAAAUAUCCACCGGUAAAACCAGAUCUCCCGCCGUUGCGAAGGAUCUUAGCCUUCCAGAAAAACGGAAACCCUCUCCCUGGAGUUCUGCUGAUGUUUUAAGAAAUGAGCUGCUCCACUUCAGGUUCUGAUACUGAGGCGAGUUCUUCAUCUUUCGAUACGGACACUGAACUUGAACGAUUCAGCCGAUUCAAACCUUGCGAAUACUCCAGAUGCAAUGCCCGAGAAGGUGCGUACGGAUUCACGUCCUCGUAGCGUCCGUGCUAACACGAAUGUAAAAUAUACACAUGACGACCCCAGCUCUGCCGACUCUCCUAGUGACUUUGUUGUUCCUCUCCGAAAUAACAUUGAGAGCGAGAGCUCCAACAACUCUGCGAUCGGUGGUUAUUCAGAGAAUCCCCUUGAAGACGACCCUCCAACGGUGGUUCCUACUGUUGAUCUUGGUAUUCCCUCCUCCAGGGAUGAUUUUGCUGUCAAUGUCGACAUUCCUUCACCCAUCCCAACUGCACCGUUUCCCGCCCCCAACUGGUAUGUUUUUCUCGUAUGAAGCUUGUUGUGUAAAUUUUGACAAGCUCAUUAUCUGGUGCAACUGAUUUUUAACUUGCUGGGACCUGUCAAUUAAUUAAUGCUUGCUGGUAAAUGUAAAUAUUUCUCAUUUGUUCUCGAGACGAUGCUUUGAAUGCUCCCGAUGUUAAUGAAAACCAGAAAGGUGCGGAUCCAUCAUCCACCUCCACCAGUGUUCCAGUUUCCCCAAACCCCAAAUUUAGAGCCCAUAAAUACUCGAACAAUGCAAGGACAAUCUUGCCUCCGACUCUGCUCAUGCACCUUGCACGAAAAUGCAAGAUUGUACUGGUGUGUUGGAUGAUUCGUUUACAAACUCAGGCCAUGGAAUAUCAGGUAGUGGCUCUCGCAAGCGGUCUCAAGUGGAGGAUGAACACACAGUUGUACAUAGGGCCUUCUCCAAUUAUGUAGAUAGUCCCGUCAUCCAAUCUCGGCUUCCAACAACUCUAGCAUCCGGUUCUACGUGCAAUUUCCCGGACUUUCCUUAGCUCAUGCAAAAUACGAAGGAGAACUUUAACCAGGAAUGACACUAUCGACCAAUCCGCAUCCGAGUAUGUUUAUUAUACACUCUGUAAUAUCACUUUCCUUCCUGACAGCAAAUACGCAUCCAUCCACACUUCGCUUCGCUUGUUUAGAAUAUGAUGAUUGCCACAUUUUUGAAGAAGUGAAAUCCAUAUAUGAAGCUUUUUUUUUUUUUAAAAAUCUUUGACAUAGUUAUGUAGUCGCCCCCACUGGCAUAUACGGAUACGAAUGAACUGAAGUAUUUGUCUAUGCUAGUAAACUUGCUUGCUCAUUUCUUGUCAAAGCUCACUGUAGUGCGAUAAUUUUAUGCUUGAA